GCCAGCAGCCAUAUCACUGCAGCUCUCAACUGGCUACCCACUGAAGCUCAGCAGUGUUGAGCCUGGUCAGUACCUGGAUGGGAGACCUGCUGGGAAGCUAUGGUUGCUGCUUGAA
Molecule: ribosomal RNA, 115 nt
Filed under: Lepisosteus oculatus (spotted gar)
Lineage: Eukaryota; Metazoa; Chordata; Actinopteri; Semionotiformes; Lepisosteidae
Source: RNAcentral